AUUGAACGCUGGCGGCAGGCUUAACACACGCAAGUCGAGCGGAAACGAUGAUAGCUUGCUAUCAGGCGUCGAGCGGCGGACGGGUGAGUAAUGCGUAGGAAUUUACCCAGCAGCGGGGGAUAGCCCGGGGAAACCCGGAUUAAUACCGCAUACACUCUACGGAGGAAAGCAGGGGCUUCAUUUAUGGACCUUGCGCUGUUGGAUGAGCCUGCGUGGGAUUAGCUGGUUGGUGAGGUAAAGGCUCGCCAAGGCGACGAUCUCUAGCUGGUCUGAGAGGAUGAUCAGCCACACUGGGACUGAGACACGGCCCAG
This 312-nucleotide ribosomal RNA is filed under the name uncultured bacterium. RNAcentral's name for it is "bacterial SSU rRNA". It matches the Rfam family "Bacterial small subunit ribosomal RNA", at positions 30 to 334 of the family's 1533-position model. The record is from RNAcentral.